Molecule: ribosomal RNA, 1446 nt
Filed under: uncultured marine bacterium
Lineage: Bacteria
Description: 16S ribosomal RNA
Rfam family: Bacterial small subunit ribosomal RNA
Source: RNAcentral
GAGUUUGAUCCUGGCUCAGAAUGAAAGCUAGCGGUAUGCCUAAUACAUGCAAGUCGUACGGAAAUUGAUCCUUCGGGAAAUUUUUUACGUGGCGGACGGGUGAGUAACACGUGAGAAUUUACCUUUAGGAAGAGGACAACUUUUAUAAAUAGAAACUAAUACUGUAUAUGCCUUACGGUGAAAGAAGUGAUUCUCCUAAUGAGGAGCUCGCGUCUGAUUAGCUAGUUGGUGGGGUUAGAGCCUAUCCGAGGCGACGAUUCGUAGCUGGUUUGAGAGGAUGAUCACCCGCAUUGGAACUGACACACGGGCCACACUCCUACGGGAGGCAGCACUAAGGAAUAUUCCGCAGUGGGCGAAAGCCUGACGGAGCAAUACCUCAUGAGGGAUGACCGCCUACAGGUUGUCAACCUCUUUUCUCGAGGACGAAGAACUGACGUUACUUGACGAAUAAGCGACGGCUAACCCUGUGCCACCAUCCGCGGUAAUACAGGGGUCGUACGUUUUAUUCGGAAUCAUUGUGCGUAAAACGUCUGCAGGUUGACAUAUUCAGUCUUUUGUUAAAUAUCAGAGCUUAACUCGUAAUCUGCAAAAGAUACUAUAUGUCUUGAGUAUGGUACAUGUAGGUGGAAUUUCCACUGUAGCGUUGAAAUGCGUAGAUCUUAGUAAGAACGCCGAUAGCGAAUGCACCCUACUGAGCCAUUACUGACACUCGGAGACCAACGCUAGGGCAGCAUACUGGAUUAGAUACCACGGUAGUUCUAGCCGUAAACAUAGAUACUAGAUGUUGUAUACAUUUAUGUACACAGUGUAGUAGCUAACGCGUUAAGUAUGGAGCAUGGGAAGUACGCUCGCAAGGGUGAAACUCAAAGGAAUUGACGGGGGCCCGCACAAGCGGUGGAGCAUGUGGUUUAAUUCGAUGCAACGCGAAGAACCUUACCAGGACUUGACAUGAAGAGAAAUUUUUCGAAAGUAAAAUGUGCUAAGGCCUCUUACACAGGUGGUGCAUGGCAGUCGUCAGCUCGAGUCGUGAGAUGUAUGGGUUAAGUCCAGCAACGAGCGCAAUCCUUGUCUCUAGUUGAUACUCUAGAGAGUCUGCGGAUUAUAAAUCGGAGGAAGGUGAGGAUGACGUCAAGUCAUCAUGCUCCUUACGUCCUGGGCUACACACGUGAUACAAUGGGUGUGACAAUUAGUUCACAAUUCGCGAGAAUGAGGUCAUCUUUAAACACAUCUUUAGUUCAGAUAGUAGGCUGCAACUUGCGUACAUGAAGGUGGAAUAGCUAGUAAUCGCAGGUCAGCAAUAUUGCGGUGAAUCCGUUGCCGGGCUUUGUACACACCGCCCGUCACACCAUGGGAGCCGGUUAUACCGGAAGCUGUUAUCGUAACCUUUUUGGAGGGAGACAUCGAAGGUAGAAUUGGUGACUGGGGUGAAGUCGUAACAAGGUAACC